GGCUAGUCCAGUCCCGACCAACAGCCGGAAUUCACUCGCCUAAAGGUAAUGGCAAAACCUUUCUAAACUUUAAGGCUACUUCGCUUAGGAACCAGUCUUUUACGGGUAGACUCACACCUUAGAGUAUCAAGGGCACUCUUAAGAACCUCUAACUUUUACGGGUAAGUUAGUACCUUAGAGUAUCAAGGAACUCUUAAAAACCUCUCUAAGCUUUAAGGCUACUUCGCUUAGGAACCAGUCUUUUACGGGUAGACUCACACCUUAGAGUAUCAAGGGCACUCUUAAGAACCUCUAACUUUUACGGGUAAGUUAGUGUAGAGUGAAAGCUCUUGAGUUUGCUUGUAGUGUGAUGAGUGGAAAUGAGGGGAUUACCCUUCUAUUUAUAGCCUUGACCACUCAAUGUCCAUCCUUGGAUCUUCAAUGGAUGGCUCCUUGAUUUCUCACAUAAAUCCAAGCUUUGUCUUUGAUCUUAUCUUGAAUAGUGUUUUUCUUGGAUAGAGUUUUGUUGGAGAAUCUUAUCUUUGUAUAAAUUCAAACUUGAAUAGUGUUUUGUCCCCUUGGAAUAUUAUACCUUGAAUAAAGUGUCAAAAGAUAAUAAUAAUAAUAAUAUUCAAGGUGAAAAUG
This 624-nucleotide long non-coding RNA is filed under the name Zostera marina. RNAcentral describes it as "long non-coding RNA (ZMAR_LNC002482)". Lineage: Eukaryota; Viridiplantae; Streptophyta; Magnoliopsida; Alismatales; Zosteraceae. The record is from RNAcentral.